This 253-nucleotide ribosomal RNA is filed under the name uncultured prokaryote. RNAcentral describes it as "partial 16S ribosomal RNA". It matches the Rfam family "Bacterial small subunit ribosomal RNA", at positions 525 to 777 of the family's 1533-position model. The record is from RNAcentral.
ACGGAGGGUGCAAACGUUGCUCGGAAUCAUUGGGCGUAAAGCGCACGUAGGCGGCCUGUUAAGUCGGAUGUGAAAGCCCCGGGCUCAACCCGGGAAGUGCAUACGAAACUGGCAGGCUUGAAUAUGGAAGAGGGUCGCGGAAUUCCCGGUGUAGAGGUGAAAUUCGUAGAUAUCGGGAGGAACACCAGUGGCGAAGGCGGCGACCUGGGCCAACACUGACACUGAGGCACGAAAGCGUGGGGAGCAAACAGGA